This 514-nucleotide ribosomal RNA is filed under the name uncultured bacterium. RNAcentral describes it as "partial 16S ribosomal RNA". It matches the Rfam family "Bacterial small subunit ribosomal RNA", at positions 28 to 523 of the family's 1533-position model. The record is from RNAcentral.
GACGAACGCUGGCGGCGUGCCUAAUACAUGCAAGUCGAGCGAAUGGAUUAAGAGCUUGCUCUUAUGAAGUUAGCGGCGGACGGGUGAGUAACACGUGGGUAACCUGCCCAUAAGACUGGGAUAACUCCGGGAAACCGGGGCUAAUACCGGAUAACAUUUUGAACCGCAUGGUUCGAAAUUGAAGGGCGGCUUCGGCUGUCACUUAUGGAUGGACCCGCGUCGCAUUAGCUAGUUGGUGAGGUAACGGCUCACCAAGGCAACGAUGCGUAGCCGACCUGAGAGGGUGAUCGGCCACACUGGGACUGAGACACGGCCCAGACUCCUACGGGAGGCAGCAGUAGGGAAUCUUCCGCAAUGGACGAAAGUCUGACGGAGCAACGCCGCGUGAGUGAUGAAGGCUUUCGGGUCGUAAACUCUGUUGUUAGGGAAGAACAAGUGCUAGUUGAAUAAGCUGGCACCUUGACGGUACCUAACCAGAAAGCCACGGCUAACUACGUGCCAGCCGCCGCGGUAA